Long non-coding RNA from Magallana angulata, 324 nucleotides. RefSeq lists it as uncharacterized. The transcript is spliced from 3 exons. Lineage: Eukaryota; Metazoa; Mollusca; Bivalvia; Ostreida; Ostreidae. The record is from RefSeq and is a predicted model, not a curated record.
UAGGACCCUUAUUUCUGACGUCAUAAUACGAUGACUUCAUCGUUACGUCACAAUCAACUUCAAUAUCAACGUCACAAUGCAUUCAGAUAGUUACAGCUGAAACAUUGAGAAGGUUCAUGUCAUAUUACAAAAAGAAAUAAGUUCUUCUGACGAUGGCAACGUGUAUUGGCUAUUACGAUGAAGUCGAGAGAGAGAUGGAAAGGAGAUUUUUCCCGAGGGAGGUGAUCGACGAGUACCAAGACUCCUUCUAUAGACAGUAUGGGAUUAUACCAAAUACUGCAAGGCCGCUACUGAGUGACUUAACCCACCAAAAGGUGGCUAUAC